AACGAACGCUGGCGGCAGGCCUCAAACAUGCAAGUCUAGGGGGUGUAGCAAUACAUCACCGGCGGACGGGUGCGUAACGCGUGGGAAUAUACCUAUCGAUUCGGAACAACUGAGGGAAACUUCAGCUAAUACCGAAUACGUCCUAACGGAGAAAGAUUUAUCGUCGAUAGAUUAGCCCGCGUUCGAUUAGCUAGUUGGUGGGGUAACGGCCCACCAAGGCGACGAUCGAUAGCUGUUCUGAGAGGAAGAUCAGCCACACUGGGACUGAGACACGGCCCAGACUCCUACGGGAGGCAGCAGUUGGGAAUCUUGGACAAUGGGGGGAAACCCUGAUCCAGCCAUGCCGCGUGAGUGAUGAAGGCCUUCGGGUUGUAAAACUCUUUCGCGCACGACGAUAAUGACGGUAGUGCGAGAAGAAGCUCCGGCUAACUUCGUGCCAGCAGCCGCGGUAAU
RNAcentral lists this ribosomal RNA (453 nucleotides) under uncultured bacterium. RNAcentral's name for it is "bacterial SSU rRNA". It matches the Rfam family "Bacterial small subunit ribosomal RNA", at positions 29 to 524 of the family's 1533-position model. The record is from RNAcentral.